This 169-nucleotide non-coding RNA is filed under the name Mycoplasmopsis alligatoris. RNAcentral describes it as "Mycoplasma alligatoris Lysine sequence". It matches the Rfam family "Lysine riboswitch aptamer". From Rfam's summary of the family: Riboswitches are metabolite binding domains within certain messenger RNAs that serve as precision sensors for their corresponding targets. Allosteric rearrangement of mRNA structure is mediated by ligand binding, and this results in modulation of gene expression. The record is from RNAcentral. Lineage: Bacteria; Bacillati; Mycoplasmatota; Mycoplasmoidales; Metamycoplasmataceae.
AAAAACUAUAGAGGAGCUUUUAACAAUAGUAAACAAUUUAGCGGGCACGCUUUGAGAUUAUUGAAAGGGUAUAAAAGCCGAAAUUAAAAUAAAGGCAUUUAUUUUAAUUGAUAAGAAAACAUAAAAGUUUCUUAUUCUCUGGACUAAGUCCAUUGGUGCUAUAGUAUUA